CUGAGGGGCAAGUAUCACUUCCUUGGUGGGAGCUCAAUCCUCCCAGGAAGUCGAUCCUGGGCCUACACUCUGACCGACGCCUGGGUUGAAGCCUUAGAAACUUCCCAAAGCGACAUUUUUGUAUUCACCCAAGCUCAGAGAAUGUUUGGAAAAUGUUUUAAUAUAAAGUAUGAAAUGGCCAUUGAAAACGGUGCCCUUGUGAUGAAGCAACCAGAACACUCAUUUUACCUGAAGCAUGAAUACAUGUUGACCGACUGCCCAGACUGUGUGACUCUGUAUGAAACAGCCAUCUCUGGGAACGUCACAUUCUACAGCCUGUUGUUCAGUAAAAGCAGGACUGUGCCUGAUUCAGCGCUGGAGAUGCUAAAGAAGCAAGCAGAGUGUCUGAAGAUGCCUUCAGUCAUCAUGUUGAACAAACAUUCUGAAGCGUGCCCGGACGACCCUGCACCCAUGGAUGGCACUGAGGCUUUUAGAUAUGUUAUGGAGGCAAAGACGGUACAUGUGUUUGGCAGAAUCAUGGACACUAUUUUUGAUCUGUUUGUGAACUGACUGAGUGACUUGAUGUUACUCCACUGCAACUUAUGUGAAUAAAGUAUGCAGGCGUUUGCCGUACCUUUUAGUGUUACAAAGCACAUGAAAAACUGGGACGCUUAGCCCGAUCACUCAAGACUUCCUAUUCACUGGGGUGGUCCUGUGGGGGCACAGACUGCUUUCGCAAGGCACUGUAUAUACAGUGCCCUUUGAAAGUACUUAUACACCUUGAACUUUUGCACAUUUUGUCAUGUUUACAACCAUAAACCAGAUUUUAUUUUGAUUUUUUUACUGAAGGUUCACACGUAACAGACAACUGUGAGGUGAAAGCAAAAUGAUACAUGAUUCUGUUAUUUUUCAAAAAAUAGAAAAGUGAAAAGUGGGGCGUGCACAAGUAUUCAUACAGCAUGACUUAAUACUUUGUGGAACCCCCUUUUGCUGCAAUAACAGCAGCAAGUCUUUUGGGGUAUGACUCUACAAGGUUUGCACAUCUAGAGACUGACAUUUUAGCCCAUUCCUCUUUACAAAACAACUCAAGCUCUGUCAAAUUAGAAGGAGAGCGUUUGUGAACAGCAGUUUUCAGGUCUUUCCACAGAUUUUCAAUAGGAUUUAGGUCAGGACUUUGACUGGGCCAUUCUAACACAUUAAUAUGUUUGUUUUUAAACCAUUCCAUUGUAGAUUUAGCUUUGUGUUUAGGGUCAUUGUCCUGCUGGAAGGUGAAUCUCCGCCCCAGCCUCAAUUCUCUUGUUGACUCCAGCAGGUUUUCCUCCAAAAUGUCUCUGUAUUUGGCUCCAUCCAUCUUCCCAACUAUUCUUACAAUCUUCUCCGUCCCUGCUGAGGAAAAGCAGCCCCAUAGCAUGAUGCUCCCCCACCAUAUUUGACACUGGGGAUGGUGCACUCACGACGAUGAGCAGUGUUAGGUUUGUGCCAUACAUAACGUUUUGCAUUUGGGCCAAAAAGUUAAAUUUUUGUCUCAUCUGACCAAAGCACCUUCUUCCACAUGGUAGCUGUGUCCUCCAUAUGACUUCUAGCAAACUUCAAACGGAAUUUCUUAUGGCCUCCUUUCAAUAAUGGCUUUCUUCUUGCCACUCGUCCAUGAAGGCCA
Long non-coding RNA from Neogobius melanostomus (round goby), 1636 nucleotides. Lineage: Eukaryota; Metazoa; Chordata; Actinopteri; Gobiiformes; Gobiidae. The record is from Ensembl.